Odontomachus brunneus is the source of this 4175-nucleotide long non-coding RNA. RefSeq lists it as uncharacterized. The record is from RefSeq and is a predicted model, not a curated record. Lineage: Eukaryota; Metazoa; Arthropoda; Insecta; Hymenoptera; Formicidae. The transcript has 2 exons.
UGUGUGUGUGUGUGUGUGUGUGUGUGUGUGUGUGUGUGUGACAGUAUACGUGCAUACGUAUAUAUUUAUGUAUACAGUGUGUUCCCGAAUUAAAUGAUCAAACUUGAAAUAUAUGAAUUUAUAUCAAAUACCUAGAUAGAAAUGCGCGAUGAUUAUAUUUCGUCACAAUGUGACUUCAUACUAUGAUUUCAAUUUGAUACUUUUUUAAAGAUCAUUAUGUGAUUUCAGGACAUGAGUACGAGAUGCACAUAAAUGAUGUACAAUUUAUUAUUUUCGUGACAUCAUGACAUGAACUAUAUCUGAGCUACAUAUGAACCCGCAUUGAUAUAUAUUUUUGUCCUCAUACUUUGAAGAUAUAUGGUACAACAUGAGCUCAAAAUGAACACAUUUUUCUAUCUGGGUAUAUAUAAAUUUAGGAUCUUAAAACUAAAAAUUUUCCUUUGGAUGUAAAUUCGCAAAUGCUUCAUUCAAAAAAUAUUGAUUUUUAAAUUACAGAACUAUAGAAAUGAAUAAUGUAUUUAGGUAAUCUAGAUUUAUCCUCUUUAUUGCUUUACAAUAAUCAAAAUUUAAUGAUUAAAUGUUUUGUUCGAGAUAAAGCCCCCAACUCGAAGACAAGCAUUGCAUUUAUAGAUAAGAGAGCGAGUGGCUAACUAAUAUUGUACGUCUAUAAUUCCUUUGUAUGCUUACACUAUUUUCUAUUUCAAUGAUUAUAAUCAGAUCAUUAACAGACACUUUAUACAAUUUUUUCUUGAAAGCAUCCCAUACAAAAAAUUUAGUGAUGUUAAGGUUUUAAUUUUUGCCGGCCAUAAAAUUAGCCUAUUUUUACGAAUUUUUUAAAGAAAAUCUAUUAUAUAUAGGAAGAUGCGGUUUUUUUCAUGAAAUUGUUUAACAUUUAAACAGCAAAAAAAUAUUUUUUGUUUAUAAAAAGGUGCGUUUUAAUGUCUCCAAAUGGCGAUCGAAUUAGAGGUCAUUGAAAAACCACGCUUCCAUGGUGGAAGUGAUUCAGCCUCUGCAAAUUAUCUGAAACCAAAAAUCCGACGAUUUUUAUUAAUUAUAUGAGUGUCGCCAUGGCUGGUACUAGAAUGAAGUCGAUUGCAUAGAAUUUAUAAAAAAUACGGCAUUUAAAAAAAGUUUGAUUUUUCCCCAAAAAAUCUGUUACUUUUUUGCUUAUAAAAAAUCGAAUUUUUGUUUUAAAAACUUAAUUUUAAUAUCAGACAUGUGCAAAAGUGUUAGGAUCAAGAAAAAAAACCGCAAAAGGUUAUCUUUAUUAGUUUUUAUUGGUUUAUUAGUUAUCACUUCCACCAGCUUGAAAAACAUGGUUUCAAGAAAAACGCGUUUAAAGUUUUAGUUUGACUUUUUUUAUAUAUAACAAAAUUUUUAGCGUUAUUUACGGUUAUUCUGCAAUGCCAGGCGCAUACAAUUAACCCCCCUGCUUCUUCAAAAAAAUCAUUUUCUGCCAGUUUCUCUAAUCGCCAUGCUGUUCUGGCUUCUUUUGAAGAACUUGAUGUGCGAAGAUUAGCUAGCCUCACGCGUUGUCUGUCUUUCAUUGGCACACAGCUUCGCAGUUAUUCCAAUACGGAUUCCCAAUAUGUUCAUUAUUUUCAAUAAACUUUUAAAUCCGUCAUUGAAUGUACAGGUUGUCAAAAAAUGCUGCGACAGAUAUAAUUUUUGCAUCAGAAAAGAUAUGUUUCGGCGCGAAGUGUCACAGAACUCUGUUAUAACUCUCGUUAUUAUUUUAUGUAUGUUCCCCGAGACAUCGCGUUAACAAAUUAUUAUCAGAUAAGUCUUCAUAAAUUUUAUAAAUGGCAGUUUGAAAGCCAAAGAUGGAUCGUAAUGAUAAUUUUGAAGUGUGCCGUUAGUCUCCGCGACGCGCCAGCUACACCAAGAAUUUGACCCUGGAGGACAUUGAGAAUUCAUGGGCUCUUCAUCAGUUGAUAUUUUAUGAUAAUAUAUCGCCCAUACUGCAUUUUUCAUAUCCUACAAGGACUCUGUAUUUCGUCGUAUUGCUAAUCCAUAAUAAAUAGUGAGAUCUUUAAUUAAUUUUUCUGUUAAUUUUCCUGCUUCCUUGCCACCAAUACCUUUGUGCGAUUUUUUGGCAUUUCUCAAUCUACUCCUUAUUUUUAAACGUGUGCAAUACAUUCUUUUUUUUUACCGAUAAUUCUCAUAUGGGUUUUCAUUGACUAAACUUUUAAAAGUUUUGUUAUCUCCAUCACCUAUAUAAUUUUCGUACAUAACGCCGUGUAAAUCUUUUGAACAUUGGAACAUUUCAAUAAUGCCGUCGACUUCCAUUUUUCCAACGCUUCCUAAAUGAUUGAUCGUGCAGUUUUCUUCGUGUUCUUCUUGCCACAAUAAAUCUUUUAUAGAAUCAUCAUGUUUUCGAAGUGAACAUGCUUUACAAAAGCUAGAUUUAAUCACAUCUAGUACCUUGUUUGUGUACUUUCCGAUGAGUAAUAACACCAAAUAAGGACGAGAAGCCUUUUUUGCUUCAUGUACCAUCACCAAAUAUAGUUAAAUGUAACGGUUUGUUUCCUGCUUUUGUAUUUUCAUCGGUUUUUUCUUUUGCGGCGUUUUUCAAACUAAGAUCGUGCACAGGUUGCGCGGCUGUGUAAAUAUUAUUCAUAGCAGUAUAGUACAUACGUGUAGUAAAGCCGUUACAUAAAUCCAUUAAACCACAAAAUAUAUUUAAGCCACUCAGGCCAAUGCCCAAAAUGCUUAACACAAACACUAUGCGUCGAUUAGUUUCAAACAAUCGAUUGUUAAUAAAAGGACAAGACUCAAUGCUUUCUGUUUUGCAGCUAUACUCAACGUCUAAUUUAAAUCCUAAUCCCAUUUCUCCACUCUUACUGAUACGAAUAAGUGGGAUCAGAGGGGUGUCGUGUAUUACGAGCCGCUGAAACCGUCGGAAACUAUCACUGGGGAUCAUUAUCGACUGCAACUGAUCCUUUUGAAGUGAGCUCUGCACGAGAAGAGGCCGGAAUGGAAGAAUCACCAUGACAAGUUGAUUUUGCAGCAUAACAACUCCAGGCCGCACGUUGCUCAACCAGUCAAGAAGUACUUAGAAGGAGUGAACUGGGAAAUCCUAUCCCACCCAUUAUUUUCCCCAGACAUUGCUCCCUUCGAUUACUAUUUGUUCCGGUUGAUGCAUUCAGCGCUUACGGCACAGCACUUCACCUCGUACGAAGGAGUCAAAAAAUGACUGGAUUGCCUCCAAAAAACCCGAAUUCAUCCUGCGUGGAAUCCGAUUGUUGACCGAAAGAUGGGCCAAGGUUGUUUGUUCCGAUGGAUGCUUGCACUACUUCAGUUCCUGCGAAAGGUUACAGACCCAUACGGUAAAUUAUCGAGAAAUGAACAACUGCGCUAUCCUGCUGCCCAGCGAAGAUAAUAAAUUACUAAAUUUUAGCAACUACAACAAGAAAGAGCGACUUCCGUUUGUUGUGUACGUGCAUCUGAAGUGCAUCUUAAAGAAGAUUAUGAGCGAGAAGAAAGAGGAGGAGGAAUGCACAUCGCGUGCAUACCAGCAUCAUAGGGUACUUAGUAUAGCAUAUUACACGUGUUGUUCGUAUGAUGAUUCUUUAUCCGCAUAUCGAUAUCGUCGAUAAUAACUGCAUCAUUCGUGACUGCAUAGUUCGUCGAGGAACUCAAAGAAUUAGCUCACUGCGUAAAAGCUGUUCUAUUCACCAAUGUUCUGUUACGUCCCGUACCUUCAUUCAGAAUGCAUUUCGUAAAAUUAACCACUCAUCCGAUAGAAUUUUGAAAUAAUUAAGUAAAUAAGAAGGGCUUGAAUUUUGAGUCAUAACUUCGAGUCACCUUACAAAACACUUGUACAAAUAUAGCCCUGAAUCACGUCGCCCACACUGCACAUGACCAUAAAUCACCGAAAUCUUCUUCUAUCAUGUAACCCAAUCGAACAUUCUCAAAUUUUCCAUGAUUUCCUCCAAUCCAAGCUACUAUCCUCACUUCAGGUACGUCAUCUCCGACUAAUCCGGUAAUAGUUAUUCCCGAACUUCCUAAUUUUAAAACCUAUCCAUCUAUAGGCAAUAUACUUUGAUUUCUUCUUGCGUUUAUACACCUACACGCAUACUCACACAUUCACACACUUGUAGCCCAUAAUUUUGUUAUUGUAACCUUCCUAAUUAUAACGAGCCGCGAUGAAUAAAUUUGUGUUUACUGAUUAA